CUAUACUGCAAGUCGAGCGGACUUUUAAAGCUUGCUUUUGAAAGGUCAGCGGCGGACGGGUGAGUAACACGUGGGCAACCUGCCUGUAAGACUGGGAUAACUUCGGGAAACCGGAGCUAAUACCGGAUAAUAUAAGGAACCUCCUGGUUCUUUAUUGAAAGAUGGUUUCGGCUAUCACUUACAGAUGGGCCCGCGGCGCAUUAGCUAGUUGGUGAGGUAAUGGCUCACCAAGGCGACGAUGCGUAGCCGACCUGAGAGGGUGAUCGGCCACACUGGGACUGAGACACGGCCCAGACUCCUACGGGAGGCAGCAGUAGGGAAUCUUCCACAAUGGACGAAAGUCUGAUGGAGCAACGCCGCGUGAGCGAUGAAGGCCUUCGGGUCGUAAAGCUCUGUUGUUAGGGAAGAACAAGUGCGAGAGUAACUGCUCGCACCUUGACGGUACCUAACCAGAAAGCCACGGCUAACUACGUGCCAGCAGCCGCGGUAAUACGUAGGUGGCAAGCGUUGUCCGGAAUUAUUGGGCGUAAAGCGCGCGCAGGUGGUCCUUUAAGUCUGAUGUGAAAGCCCACGGCUCAACCGUGGAGGGUCAUUGGAAA
RNAcentral lists this ribosomal RNA (599 nucleotides) under Bacillus sp. CH105_3D. RNAcentral's name for it is "bacterial SSU rRNA". It matches the Rfam family "Bacterial small subunit ribosomal RNA", at positions 49 to 632 of the family's 1533-position model. Lineage: Bacteria; Bacillati; Bacillota; Bacilli; Caryophanales; Bacillaceae. The record is from RNAcentral.